UACGUAGGGUGCAAGCGUUAAUCGGAAUUACUGGGCGUAAAGCGUGCGCAGGCGGUUAUAUAAGUCAGAUGUGAAAUCCCUGGGCUCAACCUAGGAACUGCAUUUGAGACUGUAUGGCUAGAGUGUGUCAGAGGGGGGUAGAAUUCCACGUGUAGCAGUGAAAUGCGUAGAGAUGUGGAGGAAUACCGAUGGCGAAGGCAGCCCCCUGGGAUAACACUGACGCUCAUGCACGAAAGCGUGGGGAGCAAACAGGAUUAGAUA
RNAcentral lists this ribosomal RNA (261 nucleotides) under uncultured bacterium. RNAcentral describes it as "partial 16S ribosomal RNA". It matches the Rfam family "Bacterial small subunit ribosomal RNA", at positions 524 to 784 of the family's 1533-position model. The record is from RNAcentral.